Molecule: ribosomal RNA, 1242 nt
Filed under: metagenome
Description: bacterial LSU rRNA
Rfam family: Bacterial large subunit ribosomal RNA
Source: RNAcentral
UGAGUACGAGAUGCUACGGCAUCGAAGCAGUCUAUGUCAUACUUCCAAGAAAAGCUUGCACUGUCAGAAACAGAUAAUGCCUGUACCAUAACCGACACAGGUGGGUAGGUAGAGUAUACUAAGGGGCGCGAGAUAACUCUCUCUAAGGAACUCGGCAAAAUGACUCCGUAACUUCGGGAGAAGGAGUGCCUUAUUUUUAAGGUUGCAAUAACAAGAUCCAAGCAACUGUUUACCAAAAACACAGGUCUCCGCUAAGUCGUAAGACGAUGUAUGGGGGCUGACGCCUGCCCAGUGCCAGAAGGUUAAAGAAGUCGGUUAGCAUUCGCGAAGCUGGUAACUGAAGCCCUGGUGAACGGCGGCCGUAACUAUAACGGUCCUAAGGUAGCGAAAUUCCUUGUCGGGUAAGUUCCGACCCGCACGAAAGGCGUAAUGAUUUGGAUACUGUCUCGGAGAGGGGCUCGGUGAAAUAGACUUGUCUGUGAAGAUGCGGACUACCUGCACCUGGACAGAAAGACCCUAUGAAGCUUUACUGUAACUUGAAAUUGAAAUUGGACUUUAUUUGCGCAGUAUAGGUGGGAGGCGUUGAAAAUAUUCUUGCGGGAAUAUUGGAGCCAUCAGUGAGAUACCACUCUUGUAAUGUUAGAUUUCUAACUUUAUAUCAUUAUCUGGUUAAAGAACAGUUUCAGGCGGGCAGUUUGACUGGGGCGGUCGCCUCCCAAAUGGUAACGGAGGCGCACAAAGGUUUCCUCUGAACGGGUAGAAAUCGUAUCUAGAGUGUAAAGGCAUAAGGAAGCUUGACUGUGAGACCUACAAGUCGAGCAGGGACGAAAGUCGGUCUUAGUGAUCUGACGGUGCUGAGUGGAAAGGCCGUCACUCAACGGAUAAAAGUUACUCUAGGAUAACAGGCUGAUCUCCCCCAAGAGUUCACAUCGACGGGGAGGUUUGGCACCUCGAUGUCGGCUCAUCGCAUCCUGGGGCGGUAGUACGUCCCAAGGGUUGGGCUGUUCGCCCAUGAAAGCGGUACGCGAGCUGGGUUCAGAACGUCGUGAGACAGUUCGGUCCAUAUCCGGUGUAGGCGUUAGAAUAUUGAGAGGAGCCUUCUUUAGUACGAGAGGACCGAGAAGGACAUACCUCUGGUGUACCAGUUACCGUGCCAACGGUAAACGCUGGGUAGCUAUGUAUGGAGUGGAUAACCGCUGAAAGCAUCUAAGUGGGAAGCCCACCUCAAGAUAAGUAUUCUCA